CAGCCCCGUGGUGAAGAAAACAUAUUGGAUUGCAAAUCCGAAGACGUAGAUUAAUACUCUGCCGGGGCUUU
Molecule: non-coding RNA, 71 nt
Organism: Carassius auratus (goldfish)
Lineage: Eukaryota; Metazoa; Chordata; Actinopteri; Cypriniformes; Cyprinidae
Source: Ensembl